RNAcentral lists this ribosomal RNA (253 nucleotides) under uncultured bacterium. Its description in RNAcentral is "partial 16S ribosomal RNA". It matches the Rfam family "Bacterial small subunit ribosomal RNA", at positions 524 to 776 of the family's 1533-position model. The record is from RNAcentral.
GACGGAGGAUGCAAGCGUUAUCCGGAAUGAUUGGGCGUAAAGCGUCCGCAGGUGGCAGUUCAAGUCUGCUGUCAAAGACCGGGGCUUAACUUCGGAAAGGCAGUGGAAACUGAACAGCUAGAGUAUGGUAGGGGCAGAGGGAAUUCCUGGUGUAGCGGUGAAAUGCGUAGAGAUCAGGAAGAACAUCGGUGGCGAAGGCGGCGAUCUGGGAAGAUACUGACGCUGAGGUGCGAAAGCGUGGGGAGCGAACAGG